AACGAACGCUGGCGGCAGGCCUAACACAUGCAAGUCGAGCGCUACCUUCGGGUGGAGCGGCGGACGGGUUAGUAACGCGUGGGAAUAUGCCCUUUACUAAGGAAUAGCCACUGGAAACGGUGAGUAAUACCUUAUACGCCCUUCGGGGGAAAGAUUUAUCGGUAAAGGAUUAGCCCGCGUUAGAUUAGAUAGUUGGUGGGGUAAUGGCCUACCAAGUCUACGAUCUAUAGCUGGUUUGAGAGGAUGAUCAGCAACACUGGGACUGAGACACGGCCCAGACUCCUACGGGAGGCAGCAGUGGGGAAUCUUAGACAAUGGGCGAAAGCCUGAUCUAGCCAUGCCGCGUGAGUGAUGAAGGUCUUAGGAUCGUAAAGCUCUUUCGCUGGGGAAGAUAAUGACUGUACCCAGUAAAGAAACCCCGGCUAACUCCG
This 431-nucleotide ribosomal RNA is filed under the name uncultured Paracoccaceae bacterium. Its description in RNAcentral is "bacterial SSU rRNA". It matches the Rfam family "Bacterial small subunit ribosomal RNA", at positions 29 to 505 of the family's 1533-position model. The record is from RNAcentral. Lineage: Bacteria; Pseudomonadati; Pseudomonadota; Alphaproteobacteria; Rhodobacterales; Paracoccaceae.